This 107-nucleotide ribosomal RNA is filed under the name Pteropus alecto (black flying fox). The record is from RNAcentral. Lineage: Eukaryota; Metazoa; Chordata; Mammalia; Chiroptera; Pteropodidae.
GUCUAUGGCCAUGCUACCCUGAUCCCAACUGAUUGUGGAAGCUAAGCAGUCGGGCCUGGUAUGUACUUGGAUGGGAGAUCACCUAGGAAGACCAGGUGCUGUAGAUG